This 252-nucleotide ribosomal RNA is filed under the name uncultured bacterium. Its description in RNAcentral is "partial 16S ribosomal RNA". It matches the Rfam family "Bacterial small subunit ribosomal RNA", at positions 525 to 776 of the family's 1533-position model. The record is from RNAcentral.
ACGAAGGGUGCAAGCGUUACUCGGAAUUACUGGGCGUAAAGCGGGCGUAGGUGGUUCGACAAGUCUGAUGUGAAAGCCCUGGGCUCAACCUGGGAAUGGCAUUGGAAACUGGCGACCUAGAGUGCGGUAGAGGGUAGUGGAAUUCCCGGUGUAGCAGUGAAAUGCGUAGAGAUCGGGAGGAACAUCUGUGGCGAAGGCGACUGCCUGGACCAGCACUGACACUGAGGCACGAAAGCGUGGGGAGCAAACAGG